GAUCCUGGCUCAGAAUGAACGCUGGCGGCAUGCCUAACACAUGCAAGUCGAACGAAGGCUUCGGCCUUAGUGGCGCACGGGUGCGUAACGCGUGGGAAUCUGCCCUCAGGUUCGGAAUAACAGCGAGAAAUUGCUGCUAAUACCGGAUGAUAUCGCGAGACCAAAGAUUUAUCGCCUGAGGAUGAGCCCGCGUAGGAUUAGCUAGUUGGUGUGGUAAAGGCGCACCAAGGCG
RNAcentral lists this ribosomal RNA (232 nucleotides) under uncultured bacterium. RNAcentral's name for it is "partial 16S ribosomal RNA". It matches the Rfam family "Bacterial small subunit ribosomal RNA", at positions 15 to 275 of the family's 1533-position model. The record is from RNAcentral.